UAAGGAAUAUUGGUCAAUGGACGCAAGUCUGAACCAGCCAUGCCGCGUGAAGGAUGAAGGUCCUCUGGAUUGUAAACUUCUUUUAUCUGGGACGAAAACGGGAUUUUUAUCUCAAUUGACGGUACCAGAGGAAUAAGCACCGGCUAACUCCGUGCCAGCAGCCGCGGUAAUACGGAGGGUGCGAGCGUUAUCCGGAUUUACUGGGUUUAAAGGGUGCGUAGGUGGGCUUAUAAGUCAGUGGUGAAAUCUCCGAGCUUAACUUGGAAACUGCCGUUGAUACUAUAGGUCUUGAAUUAUUUGGAGGUAAGCGGAAUAUGUCAUGUAGCGGUGAAAUGCUUAGAUAUGACAUGGAACACCAAUUGCGAAGGCAGCUUACUAUGCGGUGAUUGACACUGAGGCACGAAAGCGUGGGUAGCAAACA
This 421-nucleotide ribosomal RNA is filed under the name uncultured bacterium. Its description in RNAcentral is "bacterial SSU rRNA". It matches the Rfam family "Bacterial small subunit ribosomal RNA", at positions 355 to 774 of the family's 1533-position model. The record is from RNAcentral.